This is a non-coding RNA of Tetranychus urticae (two-spotted spider mite), 320 nucleotides long. Lineage: Eukaryota; Metazoa; Arthropoda; Arachnida; Trombidiformes; Tetranychidae. The record is from RefSeq and is a predicted model, not a curated record.
UUUGAUUUUAAUCAAACGGUUUGGUCAUUAUUUUUAUUGGAUUUUUAGUGGAAUAUUGUUGCACAAAUUGGUCCAAGAAAGUGAUAAUGGUUCAAGACUCUACAUGCAAUUUGAUUGCAUUUCAGAUACAGUUUCUCGGAAGGAAAAGACAAAUAAACAACAACUCAUGUUAAUCAUGAGUCCUUUGGUAUUCAUUUCUUAGAUGAAGAUGGAAACCAUCAAGCAUCAAGGAUUGGUGAUGGAUGUAUAAUUGACAGAAACUAAAACAAAACAGUGGUUUGUUCAACUUUAGUUUACAUUGUAAUAAUAAUAAUAAUAAU